UAGGGGAUCUUCCACAAUGGGCGCAAGCCUGAUGGAGCAACACCGCGUGAGUGAAGAAGGGUUUCGGCUCGUAAAGCUCUGUUGUUAAAGAAGAACACGUAUGAGAGUAACUGUUCAUACGUUGACGGUAUUUAACCAGAAAGUCACGGCUAACUACGUACCAG
This 164-nucleotide ribosomal RNA is filed under the name uncultured bacterium. RNAcentral's name for it is "partial 16S rRNA". It matches the Rfam family "Bacterial small subunit ribosomal RNA", at positions 355 to 511 of the family's 1533-position model. The record is from RNAcentral.